GAGUGGCAAACGGGUGAGUAACGCGUAGACAACCUGCCGUAUGCUGGGGGACAACAGUUGGAAACGACUGCUAAUACCGCAUAAGCGCGCAGUUUCGCAUGAAACGGUGUGAAAAACUCCGGUGGCAUACGAUGGACCCGCGUCUGAUUAGCUAGUUGGUGAGGUAACGGCCCACCAAGGCGACGAUCAGUAGCCGGCCUGAGAGGGUGAACGGCCACAUUGGGACUGAGACACGGCCCAAACUCCUACGGGAGGCAGCAGUGGGGAAUAUUGCACAAUGGGGGAAACCCUGAUGCAGCGACGCCGCGUGAGUGAAGAAGUAUUUCGGUAUGUAAAGCUCUAUCGGCAGGGAAGAAAAUGACGGUACCUGACUAAGAAGCCCCGGCUAACUACGUGCCAGCAGCCGCGGUAAUACGUAGGGGGCAAGCGUUAUCCGGAUUUACUGGGUGUAAAGGGAGCGUAGACGGUCGUCCAAGUCUGAAGUGAAAGCCCGGGGCUCAACCCCGGAACUGCUUUGGAAACUGGGCAACUAGAGUGCAGGAGAGGUAAGUGGAAUUCCUAGUGUAGCGGUGAAAUGCGUAGAUAUUAGGAGGAACACCAGUGGCGAAGGCGGCUUACUGGACUGUAACUGACGUUGAGGCUCGAAAGCGUGGGGAGCAAACAGGAUUAGAUACCCUGGUAGUCCACGCCGUAAACGUUGAUUACUAGGUGUCGGGGAGUUAAACUCUUCGGUGCCGCAGCAAACGCAAUAAGUAAUCCACC
RNAcentral lists this ribosomal RNA (762 nucleotides) under uncultured Lachnospiraceae bacterium. RNAcentral describes it as "bacterial SSU rRNA". It matches the Rfam family "Bacterial small subunit ribosomal RNA", at positions 93 to 873 of the family's 1533-position model. Lineage: Bacteria; Bacillati; Bacillota; Clostridia; Lachnospirales; Lachnospiraceae. The record is from RNAcentral.